GGGGAUUCACGACCCAAAUAUCAAAAUCAUGAUAAAUAUCUUUCAAGAUUCAUGCUUUAUAUCUCCACACAUGUAAAUUCAUCUUUCAAAAUCAUAAACAUAAAGAUUUCAUAAUAAUCAUCAUAAGAUACUCAUAUCUUUCCAUUGAUAUAUAGUAUCUCACCCAGAUCAUUGUAUAUGACGAGUUAUGAUCGUUUGAAGUUGACCCAAAAAUUCACUUUUGGUAGUCUGAAGUAGAUCAACCAUAACGUUUUACUCCGAUAUCCAAAUUGGAUGAAACCAAUUUUAUUAGAAAGAGGACUCGCGGAGCUUUCCGUUGAUAUAUAAUAGAUCACCCAGAUCAUUAUGUACAAGGAGUUAUGAUCAUUUAAAGCUGGAGAAAAAAUACGCAAGGCCUCAGUACUUUUUUCUGCACGUUUUACUGUUCACUACUAUUCACGGUUCGAUCGGAAUGUUCAUAACUCAUCGCUCGAGUGUCUAUUUUGGAUGAUCCACAUAUCGUUGGAAAUAUUAUUUGAUACUCUACGCAAUGGUGGGUUAUAAUAUUGAGACAUUCCGCAUAAAAAAAUUAUAAUUCAUUCUAGAGAAUAGAACCCAACACGUUUACGUACAAAAUUUCAACGAAAAAUUUACCGGGAUAUUACAUCAUCCCCCCCUUGGAAACAUUCAUCCUCGAAUGACGCUAGACAUGCCAAGAUUAGAUAGGGAAUAGAGCAUACAGAUGAAACCAUUCGUUAGACUCAUCACCACAUCGUUUCUCACUCCGAAUGCAACAUAGAAUGCAUAAAUUCAAGAAACUAUAGCUGAACACAUAAUAAAUGAUAGCUGAACUGCUGAACUUUUAUCAAAAGUGCAUGAUUUAGGAAAGAACGGUACCUUUGACUUAAUCGGAGUUCGUGGAAAAUAAGUGUGGGUACUUGGAUUGCAUAUUUACCUCAGCUUCCCAAGUUGCACCCUCAACAGAUUGGUUUCGCCACAACACCUUGACCAAUGGAACUUCUUUGUUCCUUAGACUUCAGACACUGAAAUCAAGAAUCUCAACAGGAAUAUCAUCAAAAGAAAGAUUUUCUUGAAUGUCAGCACGCAUAGAGGAAUCCACUACCACAGCAUCGCUUAUAUGCUUUCUAAGCAUGGAGACAUGGAAUAAUGGAUGAACAGAGGACAACUGGGAAGGCAACUCGACCUCAUAAGCUCCCUUACUAACUCGGCUAAGAAUUUUUGAAGGACCAACAUAAUGGGGACUAAGUUUUCCUUUCUUUCCGAAUCUCUUCACCCCCCUCAUGGGUGAAAUUUUCAGAUACACUAGGUCACCAACUUCAAACUCAAGGUCUCUCCUUUUAACAGCCGUAAAUGACUUCUGACGACUCUGCGCAGUUUUCAACAUUUCCCUAAUCAACUUAACUUUUUCCAUAGCCUCAAAUACUGAAUCAGGACUACUCACACACGCUCCACCCACAUCAAACCAACCUAUGGGUGAUCUACACUUCCUCCCAUAUAAGGCUUCAAACGAAGUCAUGCCAAUACUAAAGUAGAAACUAUUAUUGUAAGCAAACUCUAUCAAUGGUAAGUGAUCAUCCUAACUUCCCUUAAAGCCAAGUGCACAAGAUCUCAAUAUAUCCUCUAAGGUCUGGAUGGUCUGUUCAAUUUGACCAUCGGUUUGUAGAUAUAAAGCAGAACUCAAAAGCACUUGGGUACCAAGACCUUUCUGAAAAGUUUUCCAAAAUUGCGAAGUGAACUGAGUCUGGGUCUGAGGGCAAUAGUCACGACGCCCUUGUCCAUCCUGUGGACAAUCUCUAACUCUGUGACCCAUGUCACCACACCAGAAACAACCCCUCUUCUCACCCCAACACUCACCCGAAUGAGCCCUACCACACUUAGGACACAGGGGAUGAUUUGGCUUACUGCCAGUACUGUACUGGGACCUGGAUGCAUAUGACCUGCUACCUUACUCCUUCCUACCUCUAGGCAUAGGAGCACUAGUAGAUGAUGGUGCUAGCAUAGACGAACGAUCCUGAUACUGAGGGCGGCUCCCUCCCUGUGAUCUAGUCUUACCCUGCCCGUGCUGCUCGAACCUAGCUCUCUUAUUCCCUCUCAUUCUAUCUCUCUCCUUAAUCUUGUCUUCCUCAAUCUAUUGGGCAUGAGUCAUCAGCCUAGAAAGAUUCAUCUUACUAUUCAGCAUAGCAAACCUACACUCCUUAACUACAUAACUAGACACUCUAGUGACAAACUUACUCAUACUAGCCCGAUUAUCAACCACUAAGUCAGGAGCAUACUUGGCCAACUUGUCUUCCUCAAUCUAUUGGGCAUGAGUCAUCAGCCUAGAAAGAUUCAUCUUACUAUUUAGCAUAGCAGACCUACACUCCUUAACCACAUAAUUAGACACUCCAUCCACAAACUUACUCGUACUAGCCCGAUUAUCAGCCACUAAGUCAGGAGCAUACUUGGCCAACUGAUUAAACUUUAGUUGGCAAAAAUUUAGCAUGAGACACAUUUUCAUUCAAUGGGUCAGCGGGUUGAGGUUGCUAACCAUCAUUAUUUCUUCUCACUCGAUGUGGAGGCAUAUUUCUGAAAGAAAAGAGCACGAAUCAACAGCAGAGAGAGACACUUUAAACAUGAUAGACUUCUGAAAGAAAAAAUCACACUUUUUCCCAAAACAACUUGUAGCCUCUUGCUCAUAGAUGUGGCGCGCUACACACCGAUGAUCAAGACUCUACUUAACGUGGCUUGUCAGACUCCCUAGGAUACCUUAAAACCUUAGGCUCUGGAAAACAAGUCCCAAUGCGUCACACGGUGCUUGAGGCUACGAGUAGCCCCAAGCUAACCCUUUGAGCUAUUUUCAUUCAAUUUAACACAAAUCAAUGGGGUUUCCAUAAAAUAACCCUCAAAUAUCAACAGAGUAAUCAUCAUCCAAGAAUAAAUGAAUUUCAGAUAAAUAACAAAAUACGACUUAUUAGUCAACUCCCAACAUCUGUACUAGUCUAACAAGCGUCUAACAAAAUCAAUAAAACCAGCGAGCCAUUGAGACAUGCCCCAACUGACUCACACUCAGUUAUCAAAUGUAAAUAAUUCCGUGAAACCAACAUCAGACAUCACGUCCUUAGAAUAUGAGGACUCACCACAACAGAGGAUGUAGAACAGCGUGCCCGAAGAAUCACUGUCGAACCUGGAACUGAGCACCUAAACCUACAUUUCGAGAAAAUACAGCCCACAUCCAAAGAUGUGGGUUAGUACCAUAGAAAGGAACCGAGUAUAUGGGGGUGUGUGCAGUUGUAUAAAUAUUAUCAUCAUAAAUAUUUAUAAGAAAUAUGCAGGAUGUAUGAAAGACUCACAUAGCCCGAAGAAAAUCAUAAUAAUCAUGAGAGGAUGAAAUAAGUACAAUAACACAUGUGAGUCAUCAUAUAAUUUGUCAAUCACUUCAGUUCAUCAAGAAUAUCAAUUCUCAUAAUGUAAAUAUCAUUUAAAUCUUUUGAAAGAAUAACUUUCAUAAUUCCACUUUCAUAUCACUUCACCAUUCACCAUAGACACAAGGAAACACACACACACUGGGAGAUCCUAUAACCGACAUAAACCAUGUGAGCUACAUGGAGUUCAAUGUACAACCCAUGUUGAGGUGAGCCGUCCUAUCCUUACCAUCGGAGUAGGACUAUCAAUAUCAAAUCCACACAAACUAGUGAUCACUAUAUAAAUCAGCCUCAGGCUCACUCCUACGGGGGCAAAUAGUUCUAGGGAAGUAAGGUCGCUUUAUACUUCCCACUCGGUGCUAAAGAUUUCUCCCAUACUUAGCUCAGAUCAUUUCAAAGACAAUCCACAACAAAAUAGUUUCAGUAAUAUAUAAAUAUACAUCAGGAGCCAUCAUGCUUCCCAUCUAUGAAAAUCAACCACGUUGUGGAUUUUUUUCACACUGGAGUUCAAAGCAACUCCAUUAAGACCAAAAGGUCAAAUCAUUCAAAAUAUUUAAAAUAUUCAACAUCAACGUGCUUAUAACACACACUUUCUCAAAAAAACACAAUUUCUAAUGGGGAUUCACGACCCAAAUAUCAAAAUCAUGAUAAAUAUCUUUCAAGAUUCAUUCUUUAUAUCUCCACAAAUGUAAAUUCAUCUUUCAAAAUUAUAAACAUCAAGAUUUCAUAAUAAUCAUCAUAAGAUAUGGGUUCAUACUUCAAAUUCGUAAAAAAUCAAAUUAAAAUCAUGCCUUUGUAAAAAAAAUUACUUUUGGGCACAAGAAUGAAAGAGAGUUCUUGUUGAAAAACCUCACAUACCUUGAAUGAUGAACUUUAGAUCGAUAUUAAUUUUUAAGAUGUUAAUCGUGCCUUUGAAUGAUGGUUCUUGGAGUUCUUGAACUAGGAACUUGGAAUCUUGUAUAAAUUUGCAGAAUUAAUAGUGAACUUUAUAGGUUCUUGAAGUUGGAUGUAGGAGCUUAGGGUUUUCUUUUUGAGGGAAUUUGAUAAAAUAUAACAUAUAAUACUUCUAAUAGGCUUUAAUAUAGGGUUUGGAUAGAUUUUAGGUGAGGGAGAAUGACCAAAACACCCCUAAAAAUUAAAUAAUUCUCGAAUCUAUUCUUUGGCUAACUAUUUUGAUAGUCUAAAGUAGAUCAACCAUAACGUUUUACUCCAACAUCCAAUUUGGGUGAAACCAAUUUCAUUAGAAAGAGGACUCUCAUAUAUUUCCAUUGAUAUAUAGUAUCUAAACCAUAUCAUUGUGUACGAGGAGUUAUGAUCGUUUGAAGUUGACCCAAAAAUUCGCUUUUGGUAGGCUGAAGUAGAUCGACCAUAACUUUUUGCUCCAAUAGACAAAUUCGAUAAAAACCAAUUUCAUUGAAAAGAGGACUCGCAGAGCUUUCUGUUAAUAUAUAUUAUAUCACCCAGAUCAUUAUGUAAUAGGAGUUAUUAUCAUUUAAAGUUGAAGCAAAAAUACGUCAGGCCUCAGUACUUUUUCCUGCACAUUUUACUGUUCACUCCUAUUCACGGUUCGAUCGGAAUAUUCAUAACUCGUCACUCGGGUGUCCGUUUUGGAUGAUCCAUAUAUCAUUGGAAAGGUUAUUCGAUACUGUACGCAAUGGUGAUUCAUAAUCUUAAUACAUUCUGCACAAAAAAUUUAUAAUUCAUUCUAGAAGAUAGAACCCAACACAUUUACGCACAAAAUUUCAACGAAAAAUUUUCCAGGGUAUUACAGUAUCACUAUUCCUUAAAAGUUAAAUCUAUAUUCUACUAGGCCACAUCAUUGAUGAAAUCGUCCACCCGAGAACUCAAGUUUAAGACCCUUCAUAUGAAACUUCUAUUGUAAAGUACAUAGUUUUCACCCUUUCAACACUCCUCAUCGAGUUGUUCCCCACGCUGAUAUAAUCUAUAUCAUAUGUGUUCUACAUUUGGCUUCACAAAGUUUCAAUACAUUUAAAAACUUUACUUCAAUACUUUUAUGACUUUCCACAUACUCAGAUUCUUAAUUUUAAUGAUUUGUGUAGUUUAGUAAACUGUGUAUUUUUCAUCUAUUAAUCUCUGUAGAUAUUUCUCUUUUCUAUAUUAUGCAUUAGAAUCCUAGCCUGUUUUAAUCAAAGUGUGCACAAAUUAUGCGAGUCAUUCUUUUUUUUGGGGUUAACUAUCUACAUUUUAUUACCAAUGUGUUCUUGUAUAUCUUAAAGGGAAAAAAUGUAAACAAACGUUCCAUAUUUAGAUAUCCCCUGCUUGGGAUCUAUGUCUCUCAUCAUUUAACUUUCUAUAACAAAUCAAAUAGAACUAGCUUGACUUGACAAGAUAGCUAUUGAGUUGGCCAACACACUGUUGGAACUUUGGUUACAUAAUAGACCUCACAACUGGGAGUCAUUUAAAAAAAAUACAUAAUUAUGGUUUUGUAAUACAUCCUUAUUAGUCUUGAUUAUUUUCCACACGGUUGUGUGCUUCUAAAUACUUAGCAUUUGAGAAUCUGACUUAAUAAUUCCUCCCUUAUUACAAUUGAGUAGUUAUUUAUAUUCUUUUAUAAAAUUAAAAAUCUGCUUCUAACGGGUACAAUGGUAAGCCCGAAUCAAGUAAAUCCUUUUUAAGGGUCUUCCCGAUGAAGAAGAUGCAACACUUCAAAUUUUAUCAAUGAAAUUAUUAAUUUGACUACUGGAACAUACAUUAUGAUGAAAACUUAUUUUAGUUGAAUGGUAACUUUGUCUAUACGUAUCCCACUUUCUUGGAAUAUAUAGUUUAUGUUGUUAUUGUUGAUAAAUUUUCCUAUACUUGAAAUAGACAUAGACAUACGCUAUGUGUAUAUGUUGGUGGAUGUUGCUUCUCUGUAUUCACAUUCUCUAGAAUGGUUUAAGAAAUUUUUAAGUCAUUGUUCUUUUUGCUUUCAUGGAUACUGGGUGUUCAAGUUUAAAAUGUUGAUUUUGCUAGCUAAUUUUUGUGUUCAUGAGAUUUUAAACAUUCUUGCUUAUGGGAGUCUCCUUUAUAAAAACAUUUUGUUCAUAUAGCCUAGUUUAAUGUUAGUUUAUAUUUUGUAAUAAUCAGCACAAACUUAUUAUAUUUUUUGAAUGUUAAUACUCCAGACGUUUCAAUUUAUUCGUGUGAUUUUGACUUGACAAGAAAUUUAAGAAAGUAAAAAACCUUUUGAAUCUGGCCUUCAUACUCUUUUGAAUCUUGUCUUCUUUCGGUCUCCCAUUUCUACCUAACCUUAUUCCAGUUCAAUAGGGUUUGGAUACUGAAAUGGUUGAUAACACGAUGACGGAGUGAAGGAUGUUACUAAAAUGGAUUCUCCUAUUUUUGUACAUGCAUAUGAGGAUACAUGUAAUGUCACGACCCGAACCGGGGCUCAGGCCACAACGAGCAUCCCAAACUGAGAAGGCCUGAUAGCCUUUUCUAUCUGGCAAUCAUGCACAAUGUUCAUACAAUAUGAAGAAAUGCAGAAAAUUUUCAUAUGGAAACAUGGUCAAUCUCAUAAGUAAACUGAAUAAUACAAAAGGAAGCUCUUAGCAUUCAAAACACAUGACAUAAGUAUGUGAAAUCUCUAACAAUACAAGAAAUAAUAUACGUCUAAAAACAAGGAUAAUGCCCCCAGUCAAACCAUGAAACAAAAAAAAAUAGUAAUGUCCAAUAACCAAGACCUUCCGAAAUAAGGGAGGCUCACCAACUGCAAACUUCGAACAACCAAUCGACAACUUAGCGGGACUCGAGACUAUUUCUCAGAUCCUGGAAUAUAGGGGGUCAAUACAGAUGUACUAGUAUGUAGAGCAAUCUAAAAUAAUGUACUGAUAUAUAUAACAUAAGUGAGAGCAUUUAAUGAAAGGCAUGUCAUCAUAAAAUAUUUGAAAAUCCAUGGGCAUAAUUAAUAGACUUUAAAACAUUUUUGUAGAUCUCAACGCAACAUCUUUUACUUACUUCUGAGCUAGGUGGUACACCCUACAAGUCUACGACCCCACGGGCUAUAUGGAGUCCUCCCUUGACUUGACGGCCAAGACUCCAACCCAAGUUUUCCACAAGGUUUGGAGUUUCUUGAUUCUGAUACACCACAGGGCACUAGGCCACCAUAUAAUCCCUCUUUAAGGACAUAAUAACCCGUAUCAGUGAAACACAUAUUCGGGCAAUGAGUGUCUAUACUCAUGCCUUCUUCGGGUAACUACCUAACUCUCUUUAGGCUCAUUUUUAACCUUUUCUAAAUAUGCAUCUUUCUAAAUUUAAAAUCUAAAAAUCUGAAUGAAAUUUGUAUUUUGUUCUGAGUUUAGCAUGGCAGUAUCUGUUUUGGUAUCAUCAUACUAAGACUUGUAAGUCAUAUGUUCUAAGCCAUAAAAUAUCAUGUACAAUUAUUUCAUUUAAAACAAUGUUCACACCACCAAAAUAUUUCAACAAUAUAAGAGAAUUCAUAUUUCAAAACAUAUGUCAAACCAUGUAAAGAUUCUCAUCUUUUCAACAUUCCAACAAAUGGUGGUCAACUUCUCAAAACAAUCAUGAAAUUCCUUAUAUUAUAAAGUUUAUCAUUUAAAACAAGAUACUAUCCCCCUCUUCAAUUCUCAACCAUCAUAAAAUUCAUAUAAGAUAGUAAGGCUCUUGGCUUAUUCUUUAAAUUAUGCAAUUUAGGAACCCAUAACUUGUAAAUCAAGAAGUAACACAGUGAGAGAGGGGAAAUUCAUGCUCUCAAAUCUUAUUUCAAAACUCCAAACACAUACAUACAUAUGUACUAACAAAAAUCAAAUUUAAGGGGAGGCCUCCAGACCAAAACAAUAUUAUCAAAAAGGGAUCACAAUGCAUAAUUGUUAAUGUAAAUCUAAAACCCUUCAUAAAUACAUGAUUUCUCAACCUUAAAAACUUAAUCAAAACAAAUUCACCAUGCCCAUGCAGUUUAGGAAACCCCAUAUACCUUAUGUUGUUUAGUUUGAAGAUUGGAUUUCUAAUCUUGACCUUUUUCUUGAAAUCUUGAACUUAGAGGAAACCCUAAUUUCUCCUUUUUCUUGAGAGUGGAGAGGAUUAUGAGUGAUGAGAAACUGAUAUUUUAUCAAUUAAUAGGGUUUAAUGCGCUAUUUAAGUUGUGGAGGUGGGUUUGACAUGAGGAAAAUACCAAAAUACCCAUAAAGAAACCAAAGAAAAUUGCAGAAAUCUUCAGUUGACGACCAAGGUUGACGGCCCGUUAGUUAGGUGAUGGCUCAUCAACUAAGUUGUCACUUUUAGUCUUGAAUUCCCCUCUUUCUAUCUUAGGCUGAUGGCUAGAACUGAUGGGUCAUCACUUAGUUGACGGCUCGUCAGCUUAGUCAUCACCUAAGUGAUGGCUUAUCAACGUAGUCAUCACUUAGUUGACAGGAAGAUACUUCGAAGUAAAAUGAGCAUAACUUUCUACCAACGAUAUCAGAUUAAGCUGAAACUAGUGGAUUUGGAAAGAGGACAAAGAUAUUUCUUUUGGUACAUGGUAGGUCCUCUAAGUCAUUAUAUAUAGGAAGUUAUGGUCGAUGGAAGUUGACUAAAGUUUUGGCAUUCGCUAAAACUCAAUCGAUAGAAGUGUUCUCAACUCAUCUUUGAGUUAGGAGAUAUUGGUGACAUAAAUUCAUAUUCAAAGGUUUCCCNNNNNNNNNNNNNNNNNNNNNNNNNNNNNNNNNNNNNNNNNNNNNNUCGGGUCCAUACGCAUUGGAAAGACUUUUAAUUCUAGCCCAAAAUUAUGGGGUGUUACAUGCAAUCAAGAGCUUGCUAUUAAAUUGGAGGAUGAAUUAUAUCUUGAUGAAAAAAUGGGGAUUUCUCUCUUAUAUCUGAAUCCAUGGAAAAGGAUAGAGUAGAACUUGAUAAAAGCACCUACAAAGGAGAAACAAGUAAAUGAUUCCAAAGAGGCCCCCAACUUGAAUGACCUUUAAUUUAGUUAGUUGGAUGAGAUUUUUGUACAGACCCAGCUUUACUCAGAGUUCCUACUAGAGAAGAUAGAUAACAUUACAGUGACUGGAAUGGAAGAUGAAGAGAAAGGAAGUGAAGACAAAAAGAAGCUUCAUGGCAGAAAAAUAAGGGCGGCAACAAGUUAUAAUAAGAAAAAGGCCAAGAGAGUUAUUGUUGUCAUGCUGUUAAUAUCUAACAAAAAUGGUUCUAUUGAGGAUUCAACACUCAUAGAGAAGGCGAGAGCUGACAAGAAGCUACCUGAACUUGUACCCUUGGUGACUGACAGGUGGAAUAUGUUGGGUUCAAGAUCAAAGUGUGAAUGGAAAAUGGAGGGAACCAAGUAGAGGGGAAAAUUGGGAUAACACUCAAAAUAGAAAAUGUACUCAAAAAUGGGAAAGUCUACAAAAUUCUCCCGCAUUAGUGGGAGAAGAAAACUUUCAAAUGUUUAAAUUAUGUCUUAUGUUUGUUACUUGAUUGAGUCUUAUGAUUUGUGGCAUGAACGAUUAGGAUAUGCCAAUUACAAAAUAUUGAGAAAACUGAUUAACUUAGAAGUUUUACCAAACUUUGAGUACAAUAAAUCAAAAUGUCAAACAUGAGUGGAAUCAAAGUAUGCUAAGCAUCCGUAUAAGUUCGUUGAAAGGAAUUCCAAUCCCUUAGACUUAAUCCACACUGACAUUUAUGAUAUGAAGUCAACACCAUCUCGUGGUGGAAAAAGUAUUUUACAACUUUUAUUUAUGAUUGCACUAGAUACUAUUAUGUCUAUUUGUUAAAUAGUAAGUAUAAAGCAAUAGAUGCGUUUAGGAAAUAUAAAACAGAAGUUGAAAAUUAGUUAGAGAAAAAGAUCAAAAUGAUAAGAAUUGAUAGGGAGAAGAAUAUGGAUCUCCAUUUGUGCAAGUAUGUGUAGAGAAUGGAAUUGUCCAACAAACUACGGCCUCGUAUUCACCUCAAUAUAAUGGAAUUGCAGAAAGGAAAAACCGAACCUUGAAGGAAAUAAUGAAUGUCUUACUAAUAAGUUCAGUUUACCACAAAAUUUGUGGGGGAAGCUAUCCUUAUAGCUAAUCAAAUACUUAAUAGAGUGUCCCAUUGUAAGACACAAUCAAUCCCAUAUGAAAAAUAGAAUGGAAGAAAACCUAACUUGAAAUAUUUUAAAGUGUGGGGAUGUCUAGCGAAGGUCUAAGUUCCUAUAUCUAAAAGAGUAAGGAUAGGACCUAAGAUGGUAGACCGUGUGUUCAUAGGAUAUGCUAAAAGUAGUAAAGUAUGUCAGUUUUAGUUCAUAAAUUCGAAUAUUCAAAUAUUAAUAAAAAUACGUUAAUUGAAUCAGAUAAUGUUGAAUUUUUUGAACACACCUAUCCAUAUAAAACUAGACAUGAAUAGUCUAGUGGGGGGUCUAAACGACCUUGAGAUGAACCAAGUGAGGAUGUAAUAAUGAUGAGAAUCCAAGAUGUAGUACACGUCAAAGAACUUUAAUUUUGUUUGGAUCGGAUUUUGUAAUAUUUCUCUUAGAAAAUAAGCCUCAAACAUUUAAAGAAGCGAUGUCAUUGCCAGAUUCAUCCUUUUAGAAAGAGGCAGUCAAUAGUGAGAUUGAUUCAAUCCUAAGCAACCAUACAUAGGAGUUGGUUGAUCUUUCUUCAUAAAAUAAACCUUUAGGUUCUAAAUAGAUCUUUGAAAGGAAAAUAAAGAAUGAUGGUACUAUUGACAAAAAUAAGGUAAGACUUGUAGUAAAAGUCUUCAAUUCGAAUGUUAAUUGCCUUGGAGAUGGUAUAUGGUCUUGAAAUCCAUCAAAUGAAUGUAAAAAUAGCAUUCCUAAAUGGAGAAUUGGAGGAAGAAAUCUACAUGGAAAAGCCUGAGGGUUUUGUGGUUCCAAGAAAAGAAAAGAAAGUGUGUAAACUUGUUAAGUCACUUUAUGGAAUAAAACAAGCACCUAAACAAUGGCAUGCAAAGUUUGACCAAACCAUGUUGGCAAACGGAUUCAAGAUAAAUAAAUGUGAUAAAUGUGUUUACAUUAAAGAAACUACAAAUUACCAAGUCAUUGUUUGUUUAUAAGUGGAUGACAUGUUGAUCAUCAGUAGAGACAUUUCUAACAUAAAUGCUAUGAAAUGAAUACUUGAAAGUAAGUUUGAUAUAAAGACCUUGGAGUUACAGAUGUGAUCUUAGGAAUAAGAAUCCAUAGAACUCGGCAUUAUCACAGUCUCAUUACAUUGAAAAGGUACUUGAUAAAUUCAAGUAUUUGUAAUUUUGUAUUGCCAAGACUCCAUUAGACGUGAGCUUUGCACUUCAAAAGAAUAAAGGUAAAAGUGACUCACAGUUGGAAUAUGAAAGAGUAUUGGGAUGUUUAAUGUAUAUCAUGAAUUGUACACGACCAGACAUAGCAUGUUCUAUUAGUAAGUUGAUUCGGUAGAUGAGUAAUCCCAAUAAAACUCAUUGGAUGGAAAUGAAAAGAGUUUUGGGGUAUCUUAAAUGCACUGAAGACCAUGCUUUGCAUUAUAAUAAAUAUCCCGCGGUACUUGAAGGAUAUAGUGAUGAAAAUUGGAUCGAAUGAAGUAAAAUCCACAAUUGGAUAUGUAUUUACUAUAGGUGGAGAAGUUGUCUCUCGAAAAUCAUUCAAACCGACAUGUAUUACUCGCUCUACAAUGAAAUCAAAAUUUAUCGCAUUAGAUAAAGCUGGUGAAGAAGUAGAAUGGCUCCAAAAAUUUCUUGGAAUAUAUUCAUUAUUGGCUGAUACUAGUGGUACCAGCAUGUAUACGCUGUGAUAACCAAGCAGCAAUCGGUAGGGCAAGGGGCAUGAUGUUGUAACACCCUACAUUUUUUAGGGCUAAAAUUCAAACCGUCAUUCCUAUGCGUAUAGACCUGAACCCAAUGAUUCCUUGUUAAUAUAUGUAUGAUGAUUAAUCCUAUAGUGUGGGGAUAUCUUUGAAUAUGAAUUGAGGUCACAAAAAUCUCCUAACUCAAAGACGAGUUGAAAACUUUUCAAUCGAUUAAGUUUUAGUGAAUGAUUCAACUUGGGUAAAUUUCCAACGACUAUUACUCCUGGUAUAUAAUGAGUUACGUGGUCUACUAUAUAGCAAAUGUAAUAUAUUUGAGUCUUCUUUCCAAUGCAACUGGUUUCACCUUAAUCCAAUAUUGGAGUAAAAAUUUACACCCAUUUUACCAAAAGGUGUUCGUCACACAAGUAGGGGCCGAUCUGCACUAAUAUAAUGUUUUUAAAAGGGGUAUUUUGGUAUUUUACUCACCCCAAACUCCUCCCAAAUGAAUUAAAUCAUACCAUAAGUGUUAUUAUUCAUCUUUUAUCAGUUUUAAACAUCUCAUAAUCCUCUCCACUCUCAAGAAUAAGAAAUAAAAAUUAGGGUUUCUUUCAAGGCUAGAUUUCAAGGUUAGAUUUCAAGCGAAUUCAAAAUUUCUUUUCAUAAAAAUGGUAUGUGGGACUAUCCUAAAACUUCGUGGGCAUAGUUUACUAUCUUAAUAAUUUUAAAAGCACGAGAAUUAGCAUAUGUAAAGGGGUUUUGAAAAUUGUUUGAAUAGCAUGAAUCAUCUACCCAUUACGGGAAAAGUAUGUGUGUUUUUUCAAGAAGUUUUCAACAAACCCGAACUAGUUUUAUGUGCACAUAUAUUUGGGUUUGGAGAAUUUAAUUGAGAUCAUGAAUUGUGAAUUUCCUCUUUCGUCGUGAUAACAACUUGGAUUAAAGUAUUAGGGAUUGUUUAAUUGCAUGAUCUAAAAUACGGGUUAAAGGUUUUGUUAUCAAUUAUGCAUUUAACGUGGACUGGUUUUAAAAUAAGAGAAUGUUUGCUCGAUAUAUAUAUAUACUUUUCCUGUUAAACUAAAGAUAUUGCAUGUGAAAUAUGAAAGAGUUGGCUACUUUAUGUAAAAAUCUUGAAAGUACGAUGCUUUGCAUAAUUUUUCUAUGUUCCUACUAUAAGAAUUUUUAUAUGUUGUCUGAAUCUUUUGGUUGUCAUUAAUGUAUUCUUAACUAAUAAAAGGGCUUUGAGAAGUUAUGAUAUGAAAUGGCUUGCAAGUCUAGGUAUGACAAUACCUAAUUACGAAGAUCCCUCAAUAUGAAAUAAAGGUAUGUUUAAGAACACAACAUGAUCAUAAUUUUUAAGAACUAAAAAAAGGCUCAAGCGAGUUAGAUGAUUACCCGAAGAAGGCGUGAGUUCAAGUAACUCAUAGCCGGAAACCAUAUUUUGCCAGUGCAGGUUUUAUGAAAUGACAUGUUAGUAAGAAGGAAUGUCUCUUCAUAGUAUGGUGUGUCAGUAAGGAGACACACUCUUCCAUGACCUAGCAUGUCAAUAAGGAGGCAUGCUUCAUCUUAUUACAUACUCCAGUCCUUGUGGUAAACUUGGAUUAGGGGCUUGGCCGUGGAUUUAAGAACGGAUCUUAUAUAGACCAUGGGAUUAUAGAAAUGUAGGAUGUACCAUCUUGCUCGGAACUAUAACACAGAAUGGAGUUUAACAAGUUAUAUGCACAGUUUUUAACUCUUCAUAUUAUGCCCAUGUGUUUUCAGUUACUUUAUGUUAAACUAUUUUUAUGAAAUGCUCUCACCUAUGUUUUAAAAUUAUAUGUUAUUCUAGAUUGUUUCUCAUACCAGUACUUUUGAGUAUUGACCCCCUAUAUUUUAGGGUAUGGGGUUCAGUCCCAUGGUCCUUCACAUCAAUUGUUCAUAUAGGAUAAUGACAGAGUUGGUGAGCCCUCAAUCUUUUGAAAGGCAUGUUAUUCAAAUAUUUAUCUAAUUCAGUUUAUGGUCCAGCUGGGGGCUUUGUCCCAGCCUAGAUAGUUAGUGUUCAGUAGAGGCUACGUAGAUGGAAGUUGAGAACUUUAUUGUCACAUUUUGUUGGCAAGGUUGUAUUAUAAAUGUUCCUUGAAUUUUAUUAUGUCUCCGCACUUUGAUUAUGUUUGGAUUAUGCUUGUGAUAGUAUGUUAAAGGGUCUCUCGGGCCUUUGAGGUUCAGGAUGCCCGUCAUGGCCAGGGCCUCAGUUCGGGUCGUGAAAAGUUUGAUAUCAUAGCACGGUUCAUGGUCCCAAGGUGUCUACUAAUCCAUGUAGAGUAGAGUCUUUUUUAUGGGUGUGUGGCGGCCACACUUAUAAGGAGAAAGCUAUGAGGCAUUUAUGAGAUGCUUUCCAUUGUUUCAUACUCUAGAUCAUGCCCUUGUGUUGUAGGGGGUGCGGAUCUAUGCGGAUAACUAACUUAUGAAAUAGAUCUAUUAUAUGUAUAAUGAAUCUAUUUUUCUUUGUGCAUGGAUAUUUCUUAAAUUUUGUUUCAAUAUCUUUUAAUGAUUUAUUCGUUUCAUAAGAUGUAUUCAUUAAUUUGUGUGGCUUAUUAUUUUAUCCUGUAGUUAUUGCAGAGUUACAGAUUUCUGUAUAAUAAUUUAUCCUAAUUGUACUGUAAUGUAUAUCUAAUUCUAGAUUUUUAAUGUUAUUUAUUAUCUUGUGUUGUUCUUCUCGUAGCGAGUUUUUUAAAUUAUAUAAACUAUCACAUGUACUUUUUUCUAAAUUUUCUAAGGUUUCUUCUAUCCAUAUUAAUAUUUCUUUUAGAUUCUCCAUUAUUUUUCUAAUUUGGUUUUUAUAAUUAAUUUUUUUAUUUAGAUUNNNNNNNNNNNNNNNNNNNNNNNNNNNNNNNNNNNNNNNNNNNNNNNNNNNNNNNNNNNNNNNNNNNNNNNNNNNNNNNNNNNNNNNNNNNNNNNNNNNNNNNNNNNNNNNNNNNNNNNNNNNNNNNNNNNNNNNNNNNNNNNNNNNNNNNNNNNNNNNNNNNNNNNNNNNNNNNNNNNNNNNNNNNNNNNNNNNNNNNNNNNNNNNNNNNNNNNNNNNNNNNNNNNNNNNNNNNNNNNNNNNNNNNNNNNNNNNNNNNNNNNNNNNNNNNNNNNNNNNNNNNNNNNNNNNNNNNNNNNNNNNNNNNNNNNNNNNNNNNNNNNNNNNNNNNNUUUUUUCAAAAAUUCUAGAUAUAUGUAAUUUAUCAUGGUAAGUAUUUGUAAGAGUAGUUAGGUAGGUAUGGUAUGUAAUUUAUUCUAGUCAUAUAAUAUUUACCAAAUGUUUUUUCUAAUAUGAUUUUUCUUAUAUCUGCUACUUUUAUAUCCUUAAGUGCAUACAAAAUAAGUAUUUUAAAUUUAACUACCAUCACAUCAGAUACAUAAUUAUUCAUUUUCAUAAAAUUGCUAUUUUCAAAAUAUUACCUUCAAUCAUGUACAUAACGAAAUAUGGUCAUCUUAGAUUACUAUAUACUAGAUUAUUCUUAAAUAACAUGUUCUUCGAUCACUAUUAGCAUGGUAAUUUGGAUACUUUUCCCUUAAACAGCGCCUCUACUCUGGUUACUCCCCACCACGGCUUCUUGCCUCAUUGGUUUCACCUUUAGGAUGGCAUAGUUCUUAGGGAUUUUUCUCCGUUUCCACUUUGCUAAUAAACUUCUUAACAUAUUAUUCUUUGAAUAAUUCUACUAUAAAGUAACUAAUAUGAAUUUAUUUUAUCAUACCAUGAUUGUUGGGAAUUAUGAAUUUAGCUAUUCAUAAUCAUAAAUAAAUAUACCUGUUCGGGUAGGUUUGAUAUUUCUGAGGUUUGUUCCUCCGUAGCUUUUUCCAUUGAAAUAUAUCUAUUUUUUAAUUAACUAAGCAAACAUUUGUUACAGAUAUCAUGCUUAAGGGUAGAGAUAUGUAGCAGAAUAUUGGUACAUUAUUUCCACCUUAGUAGUAUUAUAUGAUAGGGUACCAUGACCUAUUGGUAGUAAAAUGGUCCAAAGGUUAGUGAUAUGGAGUCUCAAUUUUAGGAAUCAGAGUGAGGAUGAAUUUUGCAUUAAUAAGCUAGUUUUAGUUGUAUAACCUUUUAUUAAGGGAUGGGUUGCCAUUUUAUUGUGAUAGACUAAUGUGGUAGCAAUAUUUAUAGAUUGUAUGGUAGUCUGUGAAGGAAGUGACUGGCUAUGAUUAUUAUUUAUUCAAAAUAGGAAAGGAUCUCAGAAUGGAUAGUUAUGGUGGUUGUAGAAAUCAUUUAUAGGUUAUGACUAGAAAGAGGUAGAUUAGUCAAUAAUUUAUGGGUAGAGACUCAUUGGUGUAAAUGAAAUUUGAAGGUAGUCUAAAUGUAUGCAUAGGUAAGUAAAUAUGAUGUGAGAAAGUGGAAUAUAUUGAUAAGAUCGUAAUGGUUUAUAUUAUAAGAUUAAGAUCGAGUGUCCCUAUAUGUGACUUUACCCCCCUUAAUUGUAUUUUUCUCUAGUAGUUGUAAACUAGUACUACAAUGUGAGAAGGUGUUUGGUAGGUUCUAAGAUGUAGUAAUAUUGUUGUGGAGAGUUUUGUGAAAUAAGAGACUCGGAUUGAUUUUCCCAUUUGGUAGACUGGUAUAAUAUGCGACAUGCUUUAUCGACAUUACAUUAUUGGUGUUAGACAAUAGGAUUGAACUUUAUAUGUGGAUUAUGGUGGUAAGAAUAGUAGCUUAAGAUUAAUGACAUGCAUUUUGUAGGAGUAAGUCAGUAGGCUAGAUUUGAUGUAUUCAAUAUCCUAGGUUGGUAACUUGUGGAAAAAAUGAAUGGAUACUUGUGAAAUAUGUAUAGUUGUGGAAUGGUGUUAAAAUGAUAAAUUACAGCUGAGUCAUUAGGUGGAUAUGAGCAUUAGGUCAUAUGAGAAUAAGUUGGACCCAAGUAGCAUGUUGUUAGAAGUGGUUUUAUGUGUAUAAGUGUCAUGCGUAACUAGCUUAUGUUCUUGAAUUUCUUAAUAUGGAGAGGGUUAAAGAGCUGCUAUAUGGUGCUAUUUAGAGUUGAAUUAAGGGAAAUAUAGAUAGACGAUGUGAGCUCUUAGUCUAGUUUAAAAAUAUUUGUUAAAUUAUGAGGGUAUGCAGUUAGAGGUGUAAUGCUAGUAUACUAAAGAAUGAAGAAUUGAUUGUUAUGUGUUAAAGAGGGUGAAUGUGUAUGCUUAUGAGAGUGUGAGUUAUAGGAAGAUGCUUAUGGAACCUUGCAAACGUUAAGAUUAGUGUCCCUCAAAUGUAGUGUCUUAAUAUUAUAGUGCUCAGGAGAGUUUGGCAUUCACGUAUAUAGUGAUAACCCAUUGUUUUGAGUGGUGUGCUCUUAGAUUUAAUUAGAGGAUAUAUCCUCAAGUUCAGGAUGGUGACUGAUCUAAGGGGGAGAUAAUGAGUUAAGGUAGUUCCCAAAUUUUCUCAUGGUGACAAGCUUCAAGGAAGAGUCAUGAUAAAUAUAUUCCUAUUCAAUCAAACUUCUCCUACUUCAAUUUAAGAGGUCAUUCUACUAAUGUCUUAUGUAUUCAAGUCAUGUCUAUGCCUAUAGUUCGAGUCAUCUAUGCACUUAUGUUCAUGAUCUGACCUCCAAACCAAUAAUAAUGUCCCCUAGUAAUCCAUUCUUUCAAGUAUUCAAGCUCUAUGUUAUGAUGUUCCUGAUCCAUAAAUCCAUGUCUCACAUCAUGCCUGGUACUAAGAAACUAUGCUUUUUAUAUAUUAUUGAUUUAUUUUAUGUCGGGAUUAGCCAAAGUGAUAAGGUUCAUGCAAACUCAUGACUAUCUCAGCUCUGAAAAUGAGAAGCAAUAUCUCCAAGUAGCAAUCCCUAUCUCAAUCAUUGACUUCAUGAAUUCUACCUUCAUGUUAUACAACUCAUUAUAUAGGCAUUCAUGCUUCUCUCUGUGAUCUUUCCUAAGAACUCAUGCCAUGUUAUAACUCAUGCCAUGUUAUGUUUAUGCCCGAACGACUCUCUACUUAAGAUCCAGACACUUGAUAUAUGAAGCACCUUGUGUCAAUUUUAUCAUAUAUUUACCUCAUACCCCACCUUGAGCAGUGCAAUAAGUAUAAGUUAUAGUUGAAUAGUGUUAAUGCUAUUCAUGAUGCUUAUGCUCGGAUCCCUCAAUGACCCUCCGAAUAAUAGUAUAAUAGUAGUUAUGGAAGAGUAGUAGUGACUUAGGUAGGGGGAGUAGAUGUUCUUGAAUGUGAAAGUUUUGAUGUGAUCUUUGUAGCUAAGGUUAUAGGUGAAGGGGAAGAAUGAGCUGAAAUUUUGUUAUGUGAAAUAGUUAGGAAAGAUAUAUGUGGAGAAAAUCUGUGUGAUAGUGAUUGAAUGUUCUAAUCUUAGGAGGGAGAUUCAUGAAGUGUGUGUAGUAAUGAUAGACUUGAAUGUUAUGAUUAAUGAAAAUACAAACUCAUGUACUGUGUGGUUAGUACUCCCUGAAUUAAAACUUGAAAGUUGUUUGAUCAUAGUGAUAAAGUGAAGAAAGAUUCUUAAAGGGGUGUAGAGUAUAGGAUCCCACAGCUUAAGCUAGCAACUCUUUACUCUGGGAUACGCUUCAAUAUGGAAGUAAUAAGCAGUUAGACUCAAGAUCUUGUAGUUACAUAUUUAGCGGGAUAUUUAUAAGAUUGAGAUGUUGAAAUGUGGUAUUCAUAGAUGAAUGAAUAGUUGGGAAGCAUAGCAAAUUUAAAGGCUAUUAGGCGUAUCAAUUGAGGUAGAGAAUGUUUCUAUUUUAUUCUUAUAUCCCUCAAGAAUCUCAGUUCAUGUCUUGUACCAAUCUUAACUAGGCAGAGGAUUCUUAGGAAAAUUCAUGCCUUACAAUGUUAUAAUCAUGUUCCAUAGAACACACGCUAAGAUCAUGUUUAUGUCAAGUCUCGUUAUCUCAUGAUUUGUGCUUAUACAAUUUACUCGGUGAUCCAUGAAGCUCUUCUUGAAUACCUAUGAAUGUUUCAUUGAGGAAAAUAACAUUUCCUAAUACGAGGUUACAACAUUUAUUCCAUACUUCUAUAGCUUCAACAAAAUCCUACCCAUCAUUCGAGGAUGAAUGAUUCCAAGGGGGAGAUAAUGUAACACUCUGUAUUUUCUUGGGCUAAAAUUCAAACCAUCGUUCCUAUGCAUAUGGACCCAAACCUAAUGAUUCCUUGUUAAUAUAUGUGUGAUGAUCAAUCCUAUAGUGUGGGAAUAUCUUUGAAUAAGAACCAAGGUCACAAAGUUCUCCUAACUCAAAAACGAGUUGAAAACUUUUCUAUCGAUUAAGUUUUAGUGAACGUUUCAACUUGGGUAAAAUUCCAAUGACCAUUAAUCUUGGUGUAUAAUAAGUUAUGUGGCAUAAUAUAUACCAAAUGAAAUAUCAUCGAGUCUUCUUUCCAAAUUAACUAGUUUUACCUUAAUACAAUAUUGGAGUAAAAAGUUACGCCCGUUUUACCAAAAGGUGUCUGUCACCCAAGUAGGGGGCGAUCUGCACUAAUAUAACAUUUUUAAAAGGGGAAUUUUGGUAUUUUCCUCGCCCCAAACUCCUCUCACAUGAAUUAAAUCAUACCAUAAGCAUUAUUAUUCAUAUUUUAUCAGUUUUAAACAUCUCAUAAUCCUCUCCACUCUCAAGAACAAGAAAAAAUUAGGGUUUCUUUUAAGGCUAGAUUUCAAGCGAAUUCAAAAUUCCUUUUCAUCAAAAAAGUAUGUGGGACUAUCCUAAAAUAUCGUGGGCAUAUAUUACUAUUUAAUUAAUUUUAAAAGCAUGAGAUUUAGCAUAUGUAAAAGGGUUUUGAAAAUUGUUUGAAUAGCAUGAACCAUCUAAGCAUUACGAGAAAACUAUGUAUGUUUUCUCAUGAAUUUUUCCACAAACCCGAACUAGUUUCUUGUGCACAUGUAUCUUCGGUUUGAAGAAUUUAAUUAAGAGCAUGAAUUAUGAUUCCUCUUUCGUCAUGAUAACAAUUUGAAUUAAAGUAUUAGGGAUUGUUCAAUUGCAUAUUCUAAAAUACGGGUUAAAGGUUUUGUUAUCAAUUAUGGAGUUAACGUGGAUUGGUUUUAAAAGGAGAGAAUUUUUUCUCGAUAUAUAUGCACUUUUCCUGUUAAACUAAAGAUGUUACAUGUGAAAUAUGAAAGAGUUGGCCACUUUAUGUAAAAAUCUUGAAAGUACAAGCUUUGCAUAAGUUUUCUUUGUUCCUACUAUAAGAAUUUUCAUAUGUUGUCUAAAUCUUUUGGUGGUUACUAAUGUAUUCUUGAGUAAGAAAAGUUCUUUGAUAAGUUAUGAUAUGAAACGGCUUGCAAGUCUAGGUAUGAUGAUACCUAAUUAAGAAGAGCCCUCAUUAUUAAAAGAAGGUAUGUUUAAGCACAUAACAUGAUCAUGAUUUUUAAGAACUAAAAAUGGGCUCAAGAGAGUUAGUUUAUUACCCAAAGAAGGAGUGAUUUCAAGUAACUCAUAGUCAAAAAUCAUAGUUUUCCAGUGCGGGUUUGAUGAAAUGACAUAUCAGUAAGGAGGCAUGUCUCUUCAUAGUAUGGUGUGUUAGUAAAGAGACACACUCUUCCAUGACCUAGCAUGUUAGUAAGAAGGCAUGCUUCGUCUUAUUAUGUACUCCAGUCCUAGCGGCAAACUUGGAUUGGGGGCUUGGCUGCCGAGGUAAGGACGGAUCUCAUAUAGCUCGUAGGAUUAUAAAAAUAUAGGGUGUACCAUCUAGCUCCGAACUAUAAGACAUAAUAGAGUUUAACAAGUUAUAUGUAUUGUUUUAAACUCUUCAUAUUAUGCCCAUGUGUUUUCAGUUACUUUAUCUUAAACUAUUUUUAUGAAAUGCUCUUACCUAUGUUGUAUGAUUAUUUGUUAUUCUGGAUUGUUUCACAUACCAGUACUUUCGAGUAUUGACCCCCUAUAUUUUAGGUUCUGGGGUUCAAUCUUGUGGUCCAUCACAUUAGUUGUUCAUAUAGUAUAAUGAUCGAGUUGGUGAGCCCUUCAUCUUUUGGAAGGCAUGUUAUUCAAACAUUUAUCUAAUUCAGUAGAUGGACCAGUCGUGGGCUUUAUCCCAGCUUAGAUAAUUAGUAUUAAGUAGAGGUUUCAUAGAUGGAAAUUGAGAUUUGUAUCUCACAUAUUGUUGGCAAGGUUGUAGUAUAAAUGUUCCUUGAAUUUCAUUAUGUCUUCCGCACUUUAAUUAUGUUUGAAUUAUGCUUAUGCUAAUAUGCUAAGGGGUCUCUCGGGCCUUUGAGGUUUGGGAUGCCCAUCGCGGCCAGGGUUUCGAUUCGGGUCAUGACAGAUCUACAAUGGUAAAUCUUGCCAUAUAAGAUGGAGACAUAAUACCGUUGGAGAACUUCUCUCUAGUGGAAUUAUCACUGUUGACUAUGUAAAGUCAAAUGAUAAUGUGCCGGAUCCACUUACAAAAGGCAAUUCUAGAAAAAGAGUUGAGAGGACAUCCAAGGGAAUGGCUUUACGGCCUAGGACAAGUCAACAUGGUGGUAACUCUACCUAGCAGGCUAGAGAUCCCAAGAUCUAGGUUUAAGGAGAUCAAACAAAGUUAUGUCUGACAGUUUCAACAUUGUCAAUAUAUCCAAAUCAUUCUCAUGAUGUAGACAAUGUUUAGUAAACAAGGAUAAGACUGAUGGAAUGAAGUCUUUUAAUCAUUAUUUAAAUUUGGCAUAUUUGGCCAAAUAGUUUAAUCUACAAAAUUGAAUAUUUAAAAAUCAACUAUGUAAGGGAAAAGUAGAAGCCGCUUCAAGGAGAAUGUUAGUAAAGGCCUAUUCUCCAAGGUCUCAUGAUACCGGAAUAUGUUUAUGGCUGAAACAAAAAAACCAUAAGAACCAUAAAUGGUAAAAGGCUGGUUGUGUGACAUGUGUUGUCUAGGUGUACAUUAAAGCUCGAUGGUGCAAAGAUAUAAAAUCUACCGAUUGACCGAAGACAUCCGAUGCAUGUUCAUGGAAAGUUCAAAGGGAAACCUACUUAUCCAGAUGCAAUCAAUGUUUUCCUGAUGAUCACAUACUUGUUCGUAAAUUUUUAUGAAAAAGUAGUCAUUCCCCAUUCAUGUGGGGGAUUGUUGGGUUCAAGAUCAAAGUGUGAAUGGAAAAUUGAGAGAACCAAGUGGAGGGAAUAUUGAUAUAACACUCAAAAUGAAAAGUGUACUCAAAAAUGUGAAAGUCUACUAAAUUAUCCCACAUUGGUGGGAGAAGGAAACUUUCAACUAUUUAAAUUAAGAAACACAUACUCCACAUGGUAAGUGAGGCAAGAAACAAAAGAUGCCAUGCGCCAUCAUCCUCAUCGUCGCUCGUCUCGGCUUCAGCUUCAGCUUUAAAUUUGGAUUUGGAUUUGUCAAAUGAUCGAUCAAUAAAGUUAAUAUUUAUUUUCAACAUAGGGAAAAUUCAGUCUGAAAAAACCAAAGGAAAAAUGCAAUAGUUUUGUUGCAGUUUUUGAUCCUUAACUAUCGUGUAUGCUUCUAUAUGCAGUAAUGAUGGUUACGGUUGCUAGAAAACACACAACUCUUCGACUAAAAGACACACUAUUUCGGGAAAAGGUAUGACUAUUUUGGAUAGCUGUGGCUGUUCAAAAAAGACACACACUUUCUGAUGAACAGACAUGAUUGUUCAGAAAGUAUACACCUUUCUGGUGAACCAUUGCCACCUUUCGGAAGAGGCACCUAAUGGCUAUGUAAACCUACAUUUGUCCACAGGUUUGGAUACAAAAUUUUCCACAUUUACAAAACACUUCUUGUCUUCAAAAUACUUUAUUUUAUCAUCUAAUCAUUGAGUGAGUUCAAAGAAAAUCCGAUCAUUUGAGGUACCUCUACAGUUGGAUUGUUAGGCCAUUUUAUCUUGGGAGAGAAAAUUCUGCAACCUGGGGUACUUGAGGAGAAUUAUUUCCUUAAGAACACUUCGUGAAGUUGAAGGACUUGUCCUUUUUCUGUUUCAUCUAAUUUUCUAAAAAAAAAACAAAUUUCUUUGGAAGGUAUUUUUGACCUUGUGUUGAUGGUGUUACAUAACUUCAAAAGUGUUCUUGUUUUAUACUUGAACUUGUGUUGAUGUUGUUGUGCCGAAAUACACAUUUUUUGUACCCGAAAAUUAUAAUCUUAAGAAAAUAACUAUAAUCUACAUUGUUUGGUUUCUGGAAAUUAAAGUUUUAUGCUUUCUACUUUGUGUGAACUUAACAAGUGAUUUGAAGACACAAAAUAUUCAUCACAAGUUAAAUAUCACUCGGUUGACGAUUGAAAGUCAUAAAAACUUCAUCGUUAAACUAGAAAGAAGGGGUUUUUAAAAUUGCUACAAAUUUAUUAAGAGUAUUUUGAUAUACUAAACUUAUUGUUUUGUUGUGACAGGAAAAUGACUGCUUACAGUCAAGUGAAUGAUGCUGCAAUGACUGUGGCAGCAACUAAUAUUGCCACAACGAGUCGUACGAGUGUUUCGCAGGCAAUGGCUCCAGCGAAGAAACCCAAAAAAUUUAUGGAUGUGGACUUUAAAAGGUGUCAAUAGAAGAUGAUCUUCUACUUUACAACGUUGUGCCUUCAGAUAUUUACAUCUACAUCUGAAAAAGCUCCAGGGGUGCCCGAAGGAACUUCAGACAUGUAGAAAUUUAUCGCUAUGGAAGCGUGGAAACACUCUAAUUUCCUAUGUCAGAAUUACAUUCUAAGUGUCCUCUAAGAUUACCUAAACAAUCUGUAUAGUGGACUAAAGAUGGAAAAAGAGUUGUGGGGGCACUGGAAAGAAAAUACAAGACUAAGGAUGUGGUAACCAAAAAGUUCUUCGAUGUAAGAUUCCUAGAGUUUAAAAUGAUUGACAGCAAGUCUAUUGUAUCUCAAGUCCAGGAACUUGUGGAAGGUAUGAUUUUGAUGAAUACUGUUGUUGAAUAUAUUAAAAAUAUUCUUAAUGUUCACAUGAACUUUACUGUAGGUUUGGUUAUGAUGAAGCGUUUCAAGUCGCGGCAAUAAUAGAGAAGUUACCACUGUUGUGGAAGGAUUUCAAGAAUUACUUGAAACAUAAGAGAAAGGAGAUGAUAGUCGAAGAUCUUAUAGUAAGACUUUGCAUUGAAAAGACAACAAAGACGCAAAAAGAAGGUCAAAAGGAAAUUCUGCAAUAAGAGGAGCAAAUAUUGUAGAAGGCGACCACAACAACUCCAAAAAAAUGGAAGAAAGCUGGACAGGGAAGCAAUCAACCCAAGAAGAAAUUCAAGGGAAAAUGCUUUAACUGUGGCAAUAUUGUCCAUAAGUCAAUAGAUUGUAGAGCCCCAAAGAAAGGGAAAAAGAAGGACUAAGCAAAUAUGGUUGAGUCCAAGAAAGAAAUGGGCGAUCUGUGACCCAUGCUAACUGAAUGCAACUUGGUGGGGAAUCCUUGAGAAUUGUGGAUGGAUUCCAAUGCCAACCACUAUAUUUGUGUUUAUAAGGAUUUAUUUGCUGCUUUUGCUCCUACUCAAGGCAAAUAAAAGAACUAUAUGGCCGAAUCUGUAGCUACAAAAGUUAAAGGGACAGGAAAAGUCUACCUGAAAAUGACAUUAGGUAAAGUGUUAUAUUUCAAAGUUUGGGGGUGCAAUAACUGAACUGAUAACUACAUUAUGAGAUAAUGUAGCACAUAGACAUAUAUGUGGAUUGGUACUUUGAGGAUGUACUGAGUAUAUGAGGGUGAAUGCAUAAGUAAAACAUAAUAUCAAUCAUCAUAAUUUGUAAAACAAUGCAUGCUAGAUAUAAAUGACUCAUAUAAGCUGGAAUAUCUGAAAUACUGAAGAUCAUGAGUAACAAGUCAUACUUCAUAAAUCUAUUGAGUCAUAACAUUUAGUUCUAAAAGUUGUACUUACAUUCUCUCUUUAAAUCAUAAUGUCUAAGUGUAUAAAGGACUCACUUUUUUUGAAGUCUGAAACUAAUAUCUUUCUGUAAAGCAUAAUCUGAGUAAGUUUUGUGAGCCUUUACACUUAGUUUUAUAAAAGCUUUCUGUUAUUCUUUUCUAAGAAACUAUUCUAAAAAUCUUUACCAUAAAGCUGUAAGGAAAAAACUUCAUCUUGUGGCUUUAAACCAAUAGACUAUUUUAAGAGUAGGGGACAUCUUUUUAGGAGAUUCUUCUAAUUGACAUAAACCAUGUGAGCUGACAUGGAGUCUAACAUCUUUCCCACGUUGGGGAGAGCUGUUCUAUCUUUUCCAUCAGAAUACAACCUUAACUUAAGUGAUCACUAUCUUAGCCCACUAUAGGCAAAUCAUAAAAACCUUGGAAUCAUAUCCAACUUGGUGCUAAAUACUACUCCCAUACUUAACGCUCAGAACCUUUAGAAAAUCCACUUUAAAACAGCACAAAGGUUUAUAAUAAAAACCAAUUAUACUUCUCUUAGCUUUAAAUCAUAAAUUGUAUGAAUAAUGUGGAUUCCUAUCUUUCCUUGGAUCAAAAGAUCAACUUUCUUUAUCAAAAUCUAAAAAAUAUCUAAUCAUGGAAUGCUUAAAACAUAGUCAUUCUUGAAAUGUCAACAUACAAACUAGGGCUUAAUGACCCAUGCUUCAAUUUCAUGUCAAACGCCACAAGGUUCAUGCCUGAUAAUACAAAUAUUCAUAAUUCAACUUAAAAUCUGGAAAAUAUGACCAUAAGCAUUAAUUUUUCGAAAGUAGACAUGUAAUUCAAUAUCCAAAUCACUUAAAAUCUCUAAAUCAUGCAAUUAGCAACAUUGGGUAUAAACCCUAACUUAAAUUUCAUGGAAAUCAUACAAAAUUCAUCAAAUUUGUAAUUUAAAGUAAGCUUUUGGGCACAAGGAUGAAAGAUUUAUCCUUAUUCAAAAUUCCACAUUCCUUGGAUGAUGAAAUAGAUGAACAAGUUUGCUUUUGGGAUUCUAUUUGUUCCCUUAAAUGAUAAUUCUUAGAAUUCUUGAAUUGGGAACUUUGAAUCUUCAAUUAAUUUGGGAAAAGAAUGGUGAAAUCUUGGGGAUUCUUGAAGUUGAAUGUUGAAACUUAGGGUUUUUCUUGAGAGAAACUUUGAUGAAUAUAAGCAUAAAAUGCUUGUAAUAGGCUUCAAUCUUGAGUUUGGAUGGAAUUAGGGGUUUGGGAAUUAUCCAAAAUAUCCUUUUUAAACUCCAAAACAAAAUUGGAAAAAUUAACAGGGGUCCCAAUUUAAUGGUCCACCACGACGCGCCACUAUCGUAGUAGCUCACUAGAAUUUGACGACUGGAAAAUUAGGGGUCUCCAUGAUGUAGAGCUAUUGCGUUGUCCCCCUGGAUUUUGAAUAUUGGGACCUAGAACUUUAACAUGACGUGCCACCAUCUCGGUUCCCUAUAAAGAUGCCAUUUUGGCCUUCAGAAUGAUGCGCCACUGUAGCAUUGGACUACUAGAAUGUACUAGUGACUACGUCAAGAGAAUUUUCCUAAUAUUGGUGGGAAUGAAGAGCAUAUAAUCUAUUCGAAUGCUGACUACUGGUAGAACUGAAAGCGGCACCCUGCUGAGUCGAGCGAUUGAAUAGAACUGACGAAUGAUGGGACUGGCCCUGUUGGCACACAUCCCUACCCUUCUGAGUAACUACUCGACACUCUCGAAUCCGAUGGCCUAACUUUCCAUACCCAAAGAACACAUCACUACCCACUCUACACUCAACCUGAUGGUGUCUGCCACACUUCUAACAUAGAGGAUUGGUAUGAGCUCUAUUAACACUGACCUGGGACUUAGAGCCUGGUGCCCUAUCCCUAUUGUCAUUUAUGAAUUUGGGUACUGGAGCACUGGUAUAAUAGGGUGCUGGGGCUGAAGACCUCUGAUGAAACUGAGGAAGGUUACCACCUUCUGACUUUGGCUAAUUUAAAUUAAAACUAACUAUCCUAGCUUUCUUAUUUCCUCUCUCCCUCUCCUUAAUCUUUUGCUCUUCUAUCUAUUAAGGAUGGACCAUCAGCCUAGAUAAGUCCAUCUCACUAAUCAGCAUUGCAGUCCUGCACUCUUUGAACACACUAUCAGAUAUGCUAAACAUGAACUUACUCAUCUUGGAUCUGUUAUCAGCUACCAUAUGAGGAGCGUACCUAGCUAACUGAGUAACUUGAGGGAAUACUCCCUCACACUCAUGCUGCCUUGCCUCAAAUUAAUGAACUCUAACACUUUGGCCUCUCUCAACUCCAAUGGGAAGAAUUUGUAUAAGAAAGUUAUGGCAAACUCUUCUUAUUCUAUAGGCCCUACAUCUGCACCCCUAUCAACCUUCCACUUCUUAAACCAAGUAUGGGCUAUAUCCUGCAAUUGAUAUGUAGCCAACUUAUAACUCUUACUAGACGUCACCACCAUAGCAUUUGUUACCUUCUGAACCAUAUCUAAGAAUUCCUGUGGAUCCUCUUCAGACUUGGAUCUUGUGAAAAAAGGAGGAUUCAUUCGAGUAAAAUUCUGAAUUCUGGUUGCAGCAGUAUUGGCCACUGGCUUAGCCAGAACAGCAGCUGGCCAUUCAUUUUGUCCUGCUACUGAAUUGGCUAGACUAGUGAACACAGCUCUGGAUUCAUCUUGAGAGACAUGCUCAUCCAGAGGAUCUACCAGGAUGGGAUGAGGGGCUGGUUGAGUUCCUGUUCUUCUUUCGUUCUUCUUGGGAGACAUGUUUUAUAAUGGAAGGAAGAAGUGGAUUAGAAAGAGAGUUUAACUUGUUCAACUAAACAUGUUCAAGAAUUGUAAGAAUCAUCAUUCAAGGGAACAAAUAGAAUCCCAAAAGCAAACUUGUUCAUCUAUUUCAUCAUCCAAGGUAUGUGGGAUUUUGAGAAAGGAUAAAUCUUUCAUCCUUGUGCCCAAAAGCUUGCUUUAAAUUACAAAUUUGCUGAAUUUUGUAUGAUUUUCAUGAAAUUUAAGUUAGGGUUUAUACCCAAUGUUGCUAAUUGCAUGAUUUACAGAUUUUAAGUGAUUUGGAUAUUGAAUUACAUGUCUACUUUCAAAAAAUUAAUGCUUAUGGUCAUAUUUUCCAGAUUUUAAGUUGAAUUAUGAAUAUUUGUAUUAUCAAGCAUAAACUUUAUGGUGUUUGACAUGAAAUUGAAGCAUGGGUCAUUAAGCCCUAGUUUGUAUGUUGAUAUUUCAAGAAUGACUAUGUUUUAAGCAUUCCAUGAUUAGAUUUUUUUAUAUUUUGAUAAAGAAAGUUGAUCUUUUGAUCCAAGCAAAGAUAAGAAUCCACAUUAUUCAUACAAUUUAUGAUUUAAAGCUAAGAGAAGUAUAACUGGUUUUCAUUAUAAACCUUUGUGCUAUUUUAAGGUGAAUUUUCUAAAAGUUCUGAGCGUUAAGUAUGGGAGUAGUAUUUAGCACCGAGUUGGGUAUGAUUCCAAGGUCUCAUACCCCAGAACUAUGUGCCACCGUAGGUUUAUGAUUUGCCCAUAGUGGGCUAAGAUAGUGAUCACUUAAGUUAAGGUUGUAUUUCGAUGGCAAGGAUAGAACAGCUCUCCCCAAUGUGGGUAAGAUGUUGGAGUCCAUGUCAGCUCACAUGGUUUAUGUCAGUUAGAAGAAUCUCCCAAAAAGAUGUCCCCUACUCUUAAAAUAGUCUAUUGGUUUAAAGCCUCAAGAUGAAGUUUUUUCCUUACAGCUUUAUGGUAAAGUUGUUCCGAAUAGUUUCUCAGAAAAGAAUAACAGAAAGCUUUUAUAAAACUAAGUGUAAAGUCUCACAAAGCUUACUCAGAUUAUGCUUUACAGAAAGAUAUUAGUUUCAGAUUUCAAAAAAAGUGAGUCCUUUCUACACUUAGACAUUAUGAUUUAAAGAGAGAAUGCAAGUACAACUUUUAGAACUAAAUGUUAUGACUCAAUAGAUUUAUGAAGUAUGACUUGUUACUCAUGAUCUUCAGUAUUUUAGAUAUUCCAGCUUAUAUGAGUCAUUUACAUCUAGCAUGCAUUGUUUUACAAAUUAUGAUGAUUGAUAUUAUCUUUUACUUAUGCAUUCACCCUCAUAUACUCAGUACAUCCUCAAAGUACUGAUCCACACAUAUUUCUAUGUGCUAUAUUGUCUCAUAAUGUAGUUAUCAGUUCAGUUGUAGCACCCCCACACUAGGGCUGUUGGCCUUGACAUAAAUCUUACUGCUGCAAACACCUACAUUUUAUAUGACAAUAACUGGAAUUUGCAAAUGAAUCUACAGGCUAUGGAUCAGUGUCGUAGAAUAGGUCAUACAAAACCUAAUCAUGUUUAUAGGCUUUCAACUGCUCUCUCUGCAGAGGAUCAAAUGCUGAAAAGAGCUUUUAGCAAGUUGAAGCUUGAGCAUGUGGUGAUUGGAAAAAGAUAGUUUAAGCAGGAACGAAGUAAGACCUGCUACAGAUACUAUGGAGGAGAGUACUUUCUAGGGCUUUUGAGAGACGAUGACGUCGAAGAGGACAAGUUGAUGCAGAUAGGUAUUACUGAUAAGUAUCUACAGAGGAUCAUCCAAGUAAAGAUGUAAGCGUUGGAUCAAGUGCAGAUGUUCUUCCACUUAAAGGACCCAAUUAGGAAAUUUUUAUUCCAACAGCAAGCGGAGGCAUGCUUUCUACUCUCAACAGCUGAUACGGAGCUCAUAGGUGUGGUUCAUUUGCAGAAAUUAGAUGUUUUUGGGAACUAAGCAAGUGAGAAAAGAAGCAAGUGCAGCAAAAAUAAGAGAGAGUCACUUGAAUAUAAGAACUGUAAAAUGGAAGCAGGUCUUUACUUUGUAGUAAUAAAAUUCAAGUUGUGAGAAAUCGAUUGUUCCUACCAUCAAAUAUCCAACAUAAAAUGUACCAAAUUCCUUCAAUGUAAUAGUUUUUAACAUGUCACAUGGAAAGUUGUAAGUAAAGAGUUGCCAAAAGAUCAGAAAGAGAUAUUCUUUUUUUAAACGGUCUAAACAAGAAAAUAAGAUAAACAAACUGAAAUUGUGGACGUUAUGUUUUAUCGGUUUCAUAUAAGAAAAGAGUAAGUAUAUGAAAAAACAUUUGGUGGGGAGGUAUUUUUUAUUUUUUUGUAUUAUUCUUUGAUGGAAUCCUUUCAUAAUGAAAACUGAUUUGUAGUUCAGAAUUAGAUUUUUUGUUUCCUGUUUAACUCAUAAUGAUUGAAUUCUUUGCUUUGGUCCAAUAUUAAUAGAAAUGAUGCUACAUUUUUAUUUUACAAUCAUAAAUGGAGUAAUUGUAUUUAACUUGGAGAAUAAUGAUAUUAAGUUUUCUUAAUAUUGACUGCCAAGUGCAAGUGACCAUAGCUAUACAACUAAUGUUGAUAGCGGGUUUAUUUUUUCUCUUUGUGAAAAAGCUAAAUCUGUUAAUGACGAUUGUCAAUUUUACUCCACGAUGACAUAAAAAUAUAAGAUAAAUAAGGCAUUCAGAGGGCAUUAUACUAGCAUCAUUAUCCUUUAACAUCAUAUUGAUCAUAUGUAGCAGAAAAGUUUGUACUUCUAUAGCAAUCAUGAUCAAGACAGAUUUACAUUCAAACACAAAUCAAGAGCUUGCAAUAGAUUUUGUUAUUGUCUUCCUAUCGACAUAGUGGGAAGAAUAAUGAUUCAUCUAGCUGAAAAUGUUGCACAUAAAAAAAUGUGAAGAAUGACCUUCCAUAUGACAUGUUGUGUUUGGGGAUAUAGACUUCUCAUUUUAUUAAUUAUUUUUUAUAUGUAUCUGGUGGAAGAUAUUAAUACAACAACAACAACAAACCCAGUGUAUUCCCAUAUAGUGAGGUCUGGGGAGGGUAAGAUGUACGCAGUCCAUACCUCUACCUCUAAAGAAGUAGAAAGUUUGUUUUCGAUAGACCCCUGGCUCGAGACACGGAAUACUAAACAAAUUUAUAGUAAAGCAUGGAAUAAGAUUGGUGGAAGAUAUUAAUACGUAGUCAAAUGGGGCUAAAUUUUACCCCUUCAUAAAAUUACUCGAGCAAGUUGUUCUUUCUAUACUACAUGCUUUCUAUUUGGACAUUCGAUUGGUGCAACCACAGUGCUUAAGGUACUAAAUGAUAUUAUUGGUUUUAUCCUCAACUAUAUGUUAAAUUGGUAAUGAAGUGUUCUAUUGAAACCACUAAAAUAUUUUGUGAGUUAUUUGUUAAUUUAUUGAUACUUGCUCCACUUAUCAUUUUAAAAAAAUAUUUUAAUUUUUAAUAAAAAUCUUAUUUUGUUUGAGAUUUGGUAUGGUUUAAGCUUGGAAGACAAUGAGAAUAAAUGUUAAGUUGAAGAAGGAGAAGGAAUUUGUAACACCCGGCAUUUUCGAGCAAGAAAUCGAACUAUCGUUCCUACGUGUGUAAACUCUAAUCUCCUGAUUUAUAUUUUAGUUCAUGUAUCAUGUUUCAGACUCGGUAUGUAAUCAUGUUUCCAAUCAUGCAUGUUUAGUAUACGACCUUAUUUUCCUCAGUAGUCUCAGCCUAAACCAGUCUCAUUCGAGGACAAAUGUCCCCAAGGGGGAGAUAUUGUAAUACUACAUAAAAGUCUUAGCUCAUUUUAGUUCUCAGUUAAAUGUUUAAGGGGUCCAAGACUUGAAAAUUUCACUAAGUGUUGAGGACUUAGUUACUUUCAAGACCCCUAUACAUUAUGAAUUUUUAAAUCGACCUUCUCGACCACGAAAUGUUGGUUUUUAAGUUGAUUCGUGAUUAGGGGGUGAUAACGCUCAACUUACACCUCAAAUAAGUACAAGACAGUCUUCGUCAAUAUAUUUACCUAACUUUGGAGUCGGGGUCGAAUCCACGAGGAACAAUGUGACUGGAGAUCAAACUAAUUUAAAACUACAACUACAAGUUGAAUUUAAACAAAUGAUAGAAAAAGAUAAAAUUUGGGGGUUUUAAAUGGUUAAACAAAAGUUGAUAAACACUUCGAUUUAACAAUGUUAUGGGACACUAGAGUUAUGGUUACCAAGAUACUUACAUAGGUUGGGUUGCAAAUCACUUUAAAGUCCCAAUUGACACUUCAAUUGCAAGAAGAGUUGAAGCCUAUUAUUUACCCAUUCAUCUCUCGACCUCAGUAGGUAGUGUAUCCAUUAAUUCUCUCGAACUUAAAGGAUAUGUUUGCUAUUCAACUAUGUUCUCAUAUGUUCUCAUGUAGGCAAAUCCGGUUAAGGCAUUUUCCAUUAAACUAAAGAUUAAAGUAAAGAUUAAAAUCUUUCGAGUUCAUGUAAACUCUUUCUUUUCCCACAUACACUUUCCUCUCAGACAAGUGAUGUUCUUGGGCUCACCUUUCAAGUUGCAACUAAGAGAGAUUGUUACAUUGCUCGACAAACACUUUCCUCUCGGACAAGUGAUUGUUUCAUUGAAUUAACCUAAAAAACACUUUCCUCUCAGACAAGUGAUGUUUGUAGUGCUGACUCUAUUAAGUUGCAGCCAAAAAAAAUCAUUAAAAUAAAGAAAGGUUUAUACAACAUCAAUUUCUUAUGGACAUACAUUAGAUUCACAACCAAAAUUAGUAUUCACAUCAAGGUUCCCAUAACUCAAGUAAAGAAAAUUAGCUAUUCAUGAUACAAAAAAAAAAAUUACAAGAAUGUUAGGAACCCUCAAUGAGAGAUUUAUCUCCUUUUUCCCCCCUCAAUAAAACUCUAAAAUAUGCCAUUUAUACUAAAGCCUAAUUAAGGAAAUAAAAUAACAAAAUUAAUAAAAUUCUCAAAAUUGGUGACACCCUGGCUGACGCUACGUCAAGGUCUGACGCCUUAUCUCGAAUGGCGUCAGAUUAGCUCCAGUUGUCUUUAAGUUCUGUCUAUGACUGACGAUGAAUCUGACGCUCUAACGCUGCAUCAAGGAUCUGACGGUAUAUCACCAACGUCGUCAGAUGUCUUGUCCUAUUGCUGAUUUUCUACUUAAGGUUGACGCCAUUCUUGAUGCUUUAUUACAAAUUUGAUGCCACAUCACCAAUGUCGUCAGAAUUGCUUCUCAGACUGCAACUCUCUGGUUAAGGCUGACGCCAAUGCUGAUAGUCUAUCACAAGGCUGACGACUUAUCACGGUUGUCGUCAGCCAUGUUUUUAGCUCUUUUUGCUCAUAUUUUAGCUCUCCUACUCCAUUGUUAUUUAUUUCCAUACAUAUUGACUUUCCUACAAAAUUUUAAGAAAUAACAUCAAAAACACCAAUAAUUACUUAAGAACUUACAAUUAUUUCAAGUUAAAAAGUCCUAAAUGUGCUACAAAAAUCUAGCACAUCAGGGGGUAAAAAGUACAUAUCAAGUGAGUAUAAGAACUUUCAGACAACUGUAGGGGCAUGUUUGGAAAAUGAAAGAAGUAGCACUACCAGGGAAGGCCCGCGUCACCCACUAAAAUCCGCCUCUCUAAAGUGGGCGUCGCCCGAUCUAGUCUCCCACUCUAAGGUGGGCAUCGCCGGGGGUAGUCCGCUGCUCUAAGGCCUGCAUCACCCCUUACCCUUUUUUUCGGGUUUUGUCUCUUGUCUUUUUAAGGGUAUUUGGGUCAUUUUUUUUCACACAACUCAUCCAUAAACAUGAAUUGGUGCUCCUAAGGAGCAUUAUUUUCCCUUUUACUUAUGAAUCCUCUCAAGAGAAAACCCUUCUUUUUCCUCAAGAACAAAAUCCAAAAUCCUUUUCCCCAAGAAUCCAAGGAAUUUAAGCUUUCUUCUCCAAAUCAAGAAGCUUAGGUACGUGGGACUAUCCUAAAUCUCAAGUCCAUAUAUUUUAUGAUUUUAACAAGUUAUAAAGAUAUAUAUGUACAUAUAUAUAAAGGAGUUUUGGAAAUCAUUUAAAGACAAAGCAUCAUAAACCCGUUUUUAUGAAAGUACGUAAUUAUGAUGGGGGGUUUUCAUAAACUUGAUUUAUAAUCUUGUGCAUACAUGAUUUGAGUUCGAAAAGUGAUUUAUGAAUGUGACUUGUGAAAUUUCCUUAUCCAUGAUAAAAUUUAUGGUCUUUGCAUGGUAUGCAUUGUGAAUUGGGUUUGAUAUUAUGAAGUAUAAGCCCUAAUUUUAUCAUGAAAUUUACUUAUAAACAAUGUUGGGAUUGUUUUUAUGAAUGAAGAUGAUUCUUGAGUUUAAAUUCUUCUUCACUUGUUAUGGAUGGUUAUUUCAUGUGUUUUUCAUAGAGGUGAUUUUUAUUCUAAAUGCUAUGGUUUCCUAAUGAAGAAACUGCAUGUGAUUAAUGAGUGAAUUGGCUACUGCAUGUUUAAGUCUUUAAAAGAGAGUGUGUUUACAUGAGUUUGCACAUGUUUUUGAUAUAAGAACUCUCUUAUGAUUUGAUAAAAUCUCUGGGUGGUCAUAUGUAUGUUUUUGAAUGAAAAGGGCGGAUAUGAUGUGGUAUGCUAAAAAUGACUUGCAAGUUUGGGUAUAACGAUACCCGGAGAUGAUAUGCUCUUAAUAGAAUAAGCAUUGAAUAAUUUAUGAGCAUGAAGCAUGGUUUUAAAGAACUAAAAAUGGGCUUGAAUAGAGCUAGUUGGUUACCCGAAGAAGGAUUGAUUUCAAAUAACUCAUAGCCCGAAAUCUUAUUUUGCUGAUACGGGUUUAUUAUGUCCCAAAUUAGGAAUUAUACGCUGGCGAUGGACUUAUGGAGUAGUAGAAAAUAGAGACUCCAAUCCUUGCAGCACACUUAGAUUGAGGGCUUGGCCGCCUAGUCAAGGGCGGAUUCCAUAUAGCCCGUGGGAUCAUAGAAAUGUAGGGUGUACCAUCUAGCUCAGAGGUAAAGCAAAAAGUUGAGUCAUGAUUAUGAAAAAAUGUUUCGUAGCUUGUCAAAUUAUGCCAAUGUGUUUAUGUAUAUUGUAACACCCCAAAAAAUGGGUCCCGGAGCGUCACACGGUGCUUGAGCCUAUGAGUAGCCCCAAGCUAACCCUUUGAGCCAUUUUCAUUCAGUUCAACACAAAUCAAUGGGGUUUCCAUAAAUAACCCUCAAAUAUCAACAGAGUAAUCAUCAUCCAAUAAUAAAAGAAUUUCAAAAAGAUAACAAAAUACAACUUAUUAGUCANNNNNNNNNNNNNNNNNNNNNNNNNNNNNNNNNNNNNNNNNNNNNNNNNNNNNNNNNNNNNNNNNNNNNNNNNNNNNNNNNNNNNNNNNNNNNNNNNNNNNNNNNNNNNNNNNNNNNNNNNNNNNNNNNNNNNNNNNNNNNNNNNNNNNNNNNNNNNNNNNNNNNNNNNNNNNNNNNNNNNNNNNNNNNNNNNNNNNNNNNNNNNNNNNNNNNNNNNNNNNNNNNNNNNNNNNNNNNNNNNNNNNNNNNNNNNNNNNNNNNNNNNNNNNNNNNNNNNNNNNNNNNNNNNNNNNNNNNNNNNNNNNNNNNNNNNNNNNNNNNNNNNNNNNNNNNNNNNNNNNNNNNNNNNNNNNNNNNNNNNNNNNNNNNNNNNNNNNNNNNNNNNNNNNNNNNNNNNNNNNNNNNNNNNNNNNNNNNNNNNNNNNNNNNNNNNNNNNNNNNNNNNNNNNNNNNNNNNNNNNNNNNNNNNNNNNNNNNNNNNNNNNNNNNNNNNNNNNNNNNNNNNNNNNNNNNNNNNNNNNNNNNNNNNNNNNNNNNNNNNNNNNNNNNNNNNNNNNNNNNNNNNNNNNNNNNNNNNNNNNNNNNNNNNNNNNNNNNNNNNNNNNNNNNNNNNNNNNNNNNNNNNNNNNNNNNNNNNNNNNNNNNNNNNNNNNNNNNNNNNNNNNNNNNNNNNNNNNNNNNNNNNNNNNNNNNNNNNNNNNNNNNNNNNNNNNNNNNNNNNNNNNNNNNNNNNNNNNNNNNNNNNNNNNNNNNNNNNNNNNNNNNNNNNNNNNNNNNNNNNNNNNNNNNNNNNNNNNNNNNNNNNNNNNNNNNNNNNNNNNNNNNNNNNNNNNNNNNNNNNNNNNNNNNNNNNNNNNNNNNNNNNNNNNNNNNNNNNNNNNNNNNNNNNNNNNNNNNNNNNNNNNNNNNNNNNNNNNNNNNNNNNNNNNNNNNNNNNNNNNNNNNNNNNNNNNNNNNNNNNNNNNNNNNNNNNNNNNNNNNNNNNNNNNNNNNNNNNNNNNNNNNNNNNNNNNNNNNNNNNNNNNNNNNNNNNNNNNNNNNNNNNNNNNNNNNNNNNNNNNNNNNNNNNNNNNNNNNNNNNNNNNNNNNNNNNNNNNNNNNNNNNNNNNNNNNNNNNNNNNNNNNNNNNNNNNNNNAUUCAAAAUAUCUCAAAUAUUCAACAUCAACAUGCUUAUAACACACACUUUCUCAAAAAAACACAAUUUCCAAUGGGGAUACACGACUCAAAUAUCAAAAUCAUGAUAAAUAUCAUUCAAGAUUCAUGCUUUAUAUAUCCACACAUAUAAAUUCACCUUUCAAAAUCAUAAACAUCAAGAUUUCAUAAUAAUCAUCAUAAGAUAUGGGUUCAUGCUUGAAAUUCGUAAAAAUCAAAUAAAAAUCAUGCCUUUGUAAAGAAAAUUACUUUUGGGCACAAGAAGGAAAGAGAGUUCUUGUUGAAAAACCCCACAUACCUUG
RNAcentral lists this long non-coding RNA (36183 nucleotides) under Capsicum annuum. RNAcentral describes it as "long non-coding RNA (CANN_LNC017918)". Lineage: Eukaryota; Viridiplantae; Streptophyta; Magnoliopsida; Solanales; Solanaceae. The record is from RNAcentral.